AUAGCUCAGUGGUAUAGCACACAACUCACAUUUGUGAUGCCCUAGGUUCAAUCCUAAU
This 58-nucleotide transfer RNA is filed under the name Erinaceus europaeus (western European hedgehog). It matches the Rfam family "tRNA", at positions 7 to 64 of the family's 71-position model. From Rfam's summary of the family: Transfer RNA (tRNA) molecules are approximately 80 nucleotides in length. Their secondary structure includes four short double-helical elements and three loops (D, anti-codon, and T loops). Lineage: Eukaryota; Metazoa; Chordata; Mammalia; Eulipotyphla; Erinaceidae. The record is from Rfam by way of RNAcentral.